Ylistrum balloti is the source of this 709-nucleotide long non-coding RNA. RefSeq lists it as uncharacterized. NCBI's taxonomy places the organism in Eukaryota, Metazoa, Mollusca, Bivalvia, Pectinida, Pectinidae. The record is from RefSeq and is a predicted model, not a curated record. The transcript is spliced from 3 exons.
AGGUCGCUUUGACUAUUACCAGUCUGUUCUGCAUGUAUCGACAGCUCGCGGGGCAAACAAAGUCAAAUUGUUCAAAAAGUUUGCUAAGGAAGCUAUGUGUUCCCGUGACAUAAGUGAUAACCACUUGCUUCGUAAUCCGUAGGACUAAUCCAGAUAUAGAAAUCCGCGUGGAUAUUCCUAGGGGAGAGCAAAAGUAUCAAACGCACGCUCAAUAUCACCGAUAUCGUCUUAUGCUGGAACUUGCCUGUUGAACGAAAAACGUGGAUGUGUAUAUUAUUCAUUCAAUCUGGAUUUAUCUAAUGUCCUGUGUUUACCUCCCUUUCAGGAUCCCGAGAAGACCGACGUCUGUGUGGUAUGAACAGCUGCUCUCUGCGAGAUACAGAUACAACCGGAAGUGAUGUGGUGUCCAAAGUCCCUCUCUUCUCUACCCAUGGAUGACAACUGGGAAAGGGGACCACGUGAUGCGUGGUAUGGUGGCAAGAGACCUUCCAGGUCUCAUGUGUGAUGGCCAAGCUCUUGAUGGUUAUCUUUAAUGAAGAUACCUUAGCUGUUAGCUGUGUAAAGCAAGAUAAAGAUAUACUGUUUGACGUCUUCAAAGACUUUUAAAACUGAAAUCAGUUAUGACGUAAAAUAGUCUUCUGUAUCAUAACUAGUUAUCUACGCAUUGCUAGAGGAACUUUAUUUUUUAAAAAUCUGUAUUAUAACUGUG